CCUGCGGAAGGAUCAUUACAGAGUUCAUGCCCUCACGGGUAGAUCUCCCACCCUUGAAUAUUAUACCUUCGUUGCUUUGGCAGGCCGUAGAAACACCAGAGGCUCCGGCUGAUGCGUGCCUGCCAGAGGAAACAAACUCUGUUUUUAGUGAUGUCUGAGUACUAUAUAAUAGUUAAAACUUUCAACAACGGAUCUCUUGGUUCUGGCAUCGAUGAAGAACGCAGCGAAAUGCGAUAAGUAAUGUGAAUUGCAGAAUUCAGUGAAUCAUCGAAUCUUUGAACGCACAUUGCGCCCCGUGGUAUUCCGCGGGGCAUGCCUGUUCGAGCGUCAUUUCAACCCAUCAAGCUUCGGCUUGGUCUUGGGGCCUGCGGUUUCGCAGCCUCUAAACCCAGUGGCGGUGCUAUUGAGCUCUGAGCGUAGUAAUUUCUCUCGCUAUAGAGUCUCGGUGGUGACUUGCCAACAACCCCCAAUUUUUAUCAGGUUGACCUCGGAUCAGGUAGGGAUACCCGCUGAACUUAAGCAUAUCAAUAAGCGGAGGA
This 539-nucleotide ribosomal RNA is filed under the name uncultured Helotiales. Its description in RNAcentral is "eukaryotic LSU rRNA". The stretch from base 177 to 330 matches the Rfam family "5.8S ribosomal RNA". Lineage: Eukaryota; Fungi; Ascomycota; Leotiomycetes; Helotiales. The record is from RNAcentral.